UACGGAGGGUGCAAGCGUUAUCCGGAUUUACUGGGUUUAAAGGGUGCGUAGGUGGAUUUGUAAGUCAGUGGUGAAAUCUCCGAGCUUAACUCGGAAACUGCCAUUGAUACUAUAAGUCUUGAAUUAUCUGGAGGUGAGCUGAAUAUGUCAUGUAGCGGUGACAUGCUUAGAUAUGACAUAGAACAGCAAUUGCGAAGGCAGCUCACUACGGAUAUAUUGACACUGAGGCGCGUAAGCGUGGGGAUCAAACAGG
RNAcentral lists this ribosomal RNA (253 nucleotides) under uncultured bacterium. RNAcentral's name for it is "partial 16S ribosomal RNA". It matches the Rfam family "Bacterial small subunit ribosomal RNA", at positions 524 to 776 of the family's 1533-position model. The record is from RNAcentral.